AUUGAACGCUGGCGGCAUGCCUUACACAUGCAAGUCGAACGGUAACAGGUCUUCGGAUGCUGACGAGUGGCGAACGGGUGAGUAAUACAUCGGAACGUGCCUAGUAGUGGGGGAUAACUACUCGAAAGAGUGGCUAAUACCGCAUGAGAUCUACGGAUGAAAGUAGGGGAUCGCAAGACCUUGUGCUACUAGAGCGGUCGAUGGCAGAUUAGGUAGUUGGUGGGAUAAAAGCUUACCAAGCCGACGAUCUGUAGCUGGUCUGAGAGGACGAUCAGCCACACUGGGACUGAGACACGGCCCAGACUCCUACGGGAGGCAGCAGUGGGGAAUUUUGGACAAUGGGCGAAAGCCUGAUCCAGCAUGCCGCGUGCAGGAUGAAGGCCUUCGGGUUGUAAACUGCUUUUGUACGGAACGAAAAGCCCCGGGUUAAUACCCUGGGGUCACGACGGUACCGUAAGAAUAAGCACCGGCUAACUACGUGCCAGCCGCCGCCGUAA
RNAcentral lists this ribosomal RNA (497 nucleotides) under uncultured bacterium. Its description in RNAcentral is "partial 16S ribosomal RNA". It matches the Rfam family "Bacterial small subunit ribosomal RNA", at positions 30 to 523 of the family's 1533-position model. The record is from RNAcentral.